UNCAUGGUGAAGCAGCUGAGCAUGCCAGCU
RNAcentral lists this non-coding RNA (30 nucleotides) under Homo sapiens (human). The record is from RNAcentral. Lineage: Eukaryota; Metazoa; Chordata; Mammalia; Primates; Hominidae.